This 429-nucleotide ribosomal RNA is filed under the name Chloroflexota bacterium. Its description in RNAcentral is "Chloroflexi bacterium partial 16S ribosomal RNA". It matches the Rfam family "Bacterial small subunit ribosomal RNA", at positions 355 to 776 of the family's 1533-position model. The record is from RNAcentral. Lineage: Bacteria; Bacillati; Chloroflexota.
UGGGGAAUAUUGCACAAUGGGCGCAAGCCUGAUGCAGCCAUGCCGCGUGUAUGAAGAAGGCCUUCGGGUUGUAAAGUACUUUCAGUCGGGAGGAAGGUGGUAAGGUUAAUAACCUUGGCAAUUGACGUUACCGACAGAAGAAGCACCGGCUAACUCUGUGCCAGCAGCCGCGGUAAUACGGAGGGUGCAAGCGUUAAUCGGAAUUACUGGGCGUAAAGCGCACGCAGGCGGUUGAUUGAGUCAGAUGUGAAAUCCCCGGGCUUAACCCGGGAAUUGCAUCUGAUACUGGUCAGCUAGAGUCUUGUAGAGGGGGGUAGAAUUCCAUGUGUAGCGGUGAAAUGCGUAGAGAUGUGGAGGAAUACCGGUGGCGAAGGCGGCCCCCUGGACAAAGACUGACGCUCAGGUGCGAAAGCGUGGGGAGCAAACAGG